Oncorhynchus tshawytscha (Chinook salmon) is the source of this 299-nucleotide long non-coding RNA. RefSeq lists it as uncharacterized. NCBI's taxonomy places the organism in Eukaryota, Metazoa, Chordata, Actinopteri, Salmoniformes, Salmonidae. The record is from RefSeq and is a predicted model, not a curated record. The transcript is spliced from 3 exons.
CAGAAAUCCCUGCUCUCCUGCGCCUGACUCCUACACCUCUCACCGAGACGCACCUUAUCACAGAGCUACUACGAAAUCAGACAGAGAAAACAUUGUCCUUGACGGACAGCCUAAUGAAGCAAGCAAUGGAAUCCAUCAGGUUGUGUGAGUCCGACAGCCAGCCAGCAUCCUACACAGACCAACAUCAGAGACAGCACUGCCUUAUCCUCAUUUCAAGACCUCAGACUGAGAGGCAGAAGGCCAAUUCAUGGCCACAUGUUUUAGAUUUUGGAGCUGAAUGACUCACCUGGUUGUUGGCG